RNAcentral lists this transfer RNA (77 nucleotides) under Candidatus Bathyarchaeota archaeon. Its description in RNAcentral is "tRNA-Trp". It matches the Rfam family "tRNA". From Rfam's summary of the family: Transfer RNA (tRNA) molecules are approximately 80 nucleotides in length. Their secondary structure includes four short double-helical elements and three loops (D, anti-codon, and T loops). The record is from RNAcentral. Lineage: Archaea; Thermoproteati; Candidatus Bathyarchaeota.
GGGGCCGUAGUCUAGCCAGGUAUGACGACGGGCUCCAGACCCGUAGGUCGCCGGUUCAAAUCCGGUCGGCCCCACCA